RNA transcript from Capsicum annuum, 2500 nucleotides. RefSeq lists it as uncharacterized. Lineage: Eukaryota; Viridiplantae; Streptophyta; Magnoliopsida; Solanales; Solanaceae. The transcript has 3 exons. The record is from RefSeq and is a predicted model, not a curated record.
GCUAUAAAAUUCCGAAUAGACACCAACGGAUACUUCCACCAGACGCCUCAACAGUUAUUCCUCAAUAAUUGAAUCUUUUUCUCUCUUUGAACCAGAUUCAUGGUAGUGCUACCCAAACAAUCUCCCUGCUUCUAUGUAGGCUACCAUAAUUCCACUAUAAAGCUCAGCCAAAUCAUUGACGAAAUUGUCUGUUCAGGAAUUCAACUUUAUGGCAGGAAAUUGAACCUCCAACUGAUACCUGGUGAUGGUGAGCUUAGAACAGAUAUGACUAGAGGUAUGAAACUAAUACAUGAGUUCUGUGAUCUCUUGGUUAUAUCGGAGAAAUCCAGAAAGACCAGAAUCGGGCAAUCUAUCAAACUUGCAUCAAACCUUUCAGUUUCCCGGGAGGCUAAUUAUGUGAAAUUUUCAAGAUAAUCAAUUUUUAGAGGAUCUUAUUUUAAAUUUGGACUAUUUGACAAAGCCUUCCUUUUUCGAGUAUUCUAGUUUCACUGAAAAGGUCAAAAUGGCUGACCAUGUCAAGCAAGAAGAUGAACUCUUAAUAUUCACGAUCCAUAUUUUAAUGUUAAUGAGACACUUGUCGUGGAAGAGCUACACAUAGCAACAGUGUCGAAAACUUCCAGAAAACUGAUUAUAUUCAACCAAGAUCUUGAUCGAAUAUGAUCUGCGGAUUAUCUGCUAUUCAUCUAUCCAAAGCUAGCUGCACUUUCCAACAUUCUUUUUCCUGAGAUGGAGAUGGUAUAUUACGUUCACAAUUUUAGAGGACGAAAUGGACAAAUCCUAUUAAUUAGAUGUUACCCUGGUCCUUGGAAUGUUUUUCGAAGAGUAGGAAGUGCCUACAUCUGCUUGCAUCUUCAGGAAUCAAUGCCAUCCUUGAAAAAAGUUGCUUUAGAAAUUCUUUCAUUAGCUUGAUUGUUUCGUUUUUAAAUUACACAACAAGAAUAUAAUGUUUAGUUUGCCUUCUUUCUCCAGUAAUUUGAAGGAAGAAAAACUUUUUAUAUCUAUCUUCUAUGCUUUACAUUCCAAUUGGGUUUGAGACUGGAGUUGGAUAAUUACUUACUGAUUCUAACUAUGUAUUUUACUUUUUUUAUCCAAAUUGUUGAUGACUGUGUUUUCUUAUAUCAUCUCGAUAUAUACCCCAAAAUCAAUGUGUUCCAUACCGAAGCUCCAGAAACAGCUUUACUUGAACUGAAGGGUUGCAGUGUGCUAUCUGAAGCAUUCAUUGAUUUCCUUCUCUUAGCCUCUUUUGAUGCUUCAUUCUACACAUUGCAUGCUUUGUCUUACCUGUCAUACUUACAUAUUUAUUUUAGUUAUUUCACAUCUCAUUAAUUUCUACAUAUGUGAAGCCAAAUAAACGAUGGUUGUAUAUGUUCCAUGAUGUCAUCAUGCUUCCUCAUAAAGUCAUUAGUAUCAGUGUCAUGUCCAUAUGUUGGUGGUGAUAGACUCCUCUCUUUGCAUUCCUUGGGGUGUACUUUGCUAUACUUUACCUUUUUGGUUAACUUGCAGUCGUUUAUGAAUCAUUCUUACAAGGUAAAGGAAGGAUAAUAAAAAAUGUGACAAGACCUAAAGUCUGUAAACAAGUCAAAAAAUGAAAAAGAAGUAAUAAUCACAACUGUGACUAGAAUGAGAGUCUAUUUAGACUCAUAUUUUAUACUGUCGAAAAGUUCUAAAGAUGUUUAAAUAAACAACUAUGUGAAAGAAUCAAGCUACAAUUGAGUAUGUGUGCUUCCAAAGCCUAAAUUCAUGGUGAAAAGGGAACAAAUAGGGCUUUGAAAUAGGAGAGUGUUGAAUGGUUAUUAUAGUUUAAUGUUAUCUGCAUAUGUUCUCGCCUAUUAUUACAUGGAUAGAUAUAAUGACUUCACGAGAUAUAACCUUAAAUAUGUGGUAAAAUACAAAUACUUACACAUUUGGAUAUUAGUUUCUUAACUGCAUUACUAUAAAUUUAGCUUAUCCUAAAGAUUAUUUACUCUUGUGCGUAAGUCGAACAUUUUGUUUGGUGAUGCGGGAUAUUGCAUCACUUGGGACUAUAGCAGUUUAGAUCAAGUCCUCCUCUUAAUUUGCUUCUAAUUAGCUUAGAAGACGAGAUCACUUCCAACCUUGAAUACCACAUUUUUUGCUCUUUUUCUUGUUUCCAGUUUACAUGAUAAUAAGAACACAUUAUCAUAUAGUUACACUUUCUACAUAGCAGGUACGUGUUAUACUUUUGAUAUAAUUCUGUUAUCUAAGAAGAUAAUUUUCUUUCCUUUUGGUGCAAAGCUCCUGCGCUAAGAUGUUUUGUCAAAGUUAUUGAAUCUUCACUAAUCAAAGUCCUUAUAUUUAUCAGAUCUUCGUUAGUCAAAACACUGAAUUUUCAAUUAAUACGUAUGCAAGUAGAGUAUUCUUCUACUUACAAUCGAGCUAGAAAUAUUGUCAAAACAAUAUUGAAAUUUGACCUAACCUAUUUGAUAACUUUGUUCUACUUUCAUAAAAUAUCUAUUUGGCAAGGAUUAGUGCUUUAAACCAG